Long non-coding RNA from Entelurus aequoreus (snake pipefish), 2098 nucleotides. RefSeq lists it as uncharacterized. The transcript has 4 exons. The record is from RefSeq and is a predicted model, not a curated record. NCBI's taxonomy places the organism in Eukaryota, Metazoa, Chordata, Actinopteri, Syngnathiformes, Syngnathidae.
GGCGGUGCAUGUUGACGAGUGAUGUCAGCGAGAGCUCAGAGCAGCAUUAGCUCAGCUGUGUUUGUUAGCUUAGCAGUGGCCAUUUGCUGGCAUAUCUUCUUGACAACAAACGGGGUAUUGUUUGGAUUGAAAACUUGUCACUUCAAUCAUUGAUUUGUUGUUCCCUCUUAGUAGUAGUAGUAAGGAGUAUGUGUACUUCCUGUACGUGUUGUUUGCUGUGGGAUGUUUAAGUUCAUUUUAGUGUGGUGCUGCUUGUUGCUGGCUUUUGUAAAACCUUACUUCCUGUUUGGAACAUGUGCUUCUGACGCUGUCUUGCUGACAUACAGCUGCAUCAAAAGUGGCGUGCUGGGUUACAUCAAACAAUAAUAAUAACAAUAAUAGAUUUUAUUUGUAAAAGCACUUUACAUUGAGCAAACAACCUCAAAGUGCAUUUAAAAAACAAAACCGCUAGAACCACAAAUAGCUGCCCCCAACAAGUAAAAUAAAUAGUAAAAAAAAUCAAAACUACAACAGCCUAAUAGCUAGAACUAGCACACAUAUAUCUAAAAAACAUGUUUUUUUUUUUUAAAAAGAGGGUUUUUUAAGCCUUUUUUAAAAGCAUCCACAGUCUGUGGUGCCCUCAGGUGGUCAGGGAGAGUGUUCCACAGACUGGGAGCGGCGGAGCAGAAAGCGCGGUCUCCCAUAGCUCGGAGCUUUGUCCUCGGAGGUUAGCCUGUCCGGAGCGCAGGUGUGGCGUGGGUAACAGCGUCGUGACUUACAUAAAAGUAAUGAGAGUACUCGUUACUAGCAGAAGUAUUAUCAUCCAACUUUGUGUUUCUUAGCACACGAGAUUGGCAAUAAAAGUUGAAAAGAGCGCCGUGCUUUGAGCGACUUCUUCAUUGCCCCGCCUCCACGCCACCGACCGACCCCCCCUCGCCCCUCCCCAUGACACGCCUCCCCCAUUUUGUUGCAAAACCCCCGACGAGGGAGGACAAUGUGGGGUUUGAUUUGAGUAAAAAGGUAAGUUAUGUGAAGGUCAGAUGGACAGGAUGGACGUCACUUUGAGUUGAGGUCACUCGCUGGCUCAGCGCUCUAUUAGCUGAAAGUGGGGGUGUGUCCCGCAUCCCGUCUAAGCAGCAGGUUUGAGGGAGACUAGUACGAUCAAUAAGCUGCUGUCUAAAUGUUAACUCAAGUGUUGGCUCAGUAUUCAUGUUUCAUCUUCUGGGGACAUUUUGUGGAUUUGUAAAGUUCCAUCAUUUAAUCCUGACUUUCACGUGCGAAAGAUGCUUAGGAACUUUGAUGCACCACAAUAACAUCAGACUGGUGUUGUCCCCAUACCAAUAUUUUAGUACCGGUACCAAAAUGUAUUUCCAUACUUUUCCAUACUUUUCUAAAUAAAGGGGACCACAAAAAAAUGUCAUUAUUGUCUUUAUUGUAACAAAAAGUCUUAGUGUACAUGAAACAUAUGUUUAUUAUUGUCAUUUAGUCCUUAAAUAAAAUAGUGAACAUACUAGACAACUUGUCUUUUAGUAGUUAUAAGAAUUCUCCAUGUUUAUCUACGUUUUCAGAUACUUUAUUUUGAAGCGUUUCUUGACAGUGCCACUUCCGCUUCCUUCCUGUAGGUGUCAUUUCCGCUUCCCUUUUGACGUGUGUUAAUGUGUGCUAACUUGUUUCUCUGCUACGUUUAAUCGGUGCUCUAGUCUUUGACGAUAUAUUAAAUGAAGCUGACCUAAAGAAAUUCAAGUUGGAAAUGACCCCAACCUGGUCAAUAUCGGAGAAUACCACUCGCAGAGUUUAAUUCUCAACACCUCACAAUGGCUGCAAAUCUUCUUUUAUUGAGAUGCUAAAUCAAGAUGACGCGUGCAGACUGGACGCCGUUACAUCGCCGACCUGCAAAGACGACCCGGGGUUUCCCAUGCAUGGCCACCCGCCACCAUUACAUCGCCACAAAUACAUCCGCCGCUUCCUGGCACUCAAAGUCCUUUGACGCUGCGACCUCCUGAUGACCACUUGCUCAAGUGCCUUGCUCAAGGAUGCUUCGACAUGGCCACAAGGGAUUAUUUUGGAUCGAACCUGGAACCUUCAGGUUGGUAGACAACCACUCUACCACCCAUCCCCU